GACAUGCAGAGGGAGGAAGGUGCGCUACACAGGCGGCAGACCCUCCGGCUCCAACAGGUCUGCUGGAAGAGUGAGCAACUAGAUGACGCCAAUCAGCAGGGGGCCAGGAAAGGCAAAAACAUCGGCAAAGAGAAAUAUAAGAGACCUCACAGCGAGGGUUUCCUGCAGAAGGGCCACAUUUGUCUUCCUUCCAUGAACACUGUUAAUGAACCCAGGAUACUGUACAUUGUUAUUUGAACACAGCCUUGCUCCUGGUGGAACUAUUUGCUUCAGAGGGGUUCGAAACAUAGCCAACUCACAUGUUGCGUCAGCAGGUUGAUGUGACUCGAUCCAGCACUGUUGCGGGCAACUUGCUUGUCGGCCAGCUUCUGCAGAGCUGAGAUGAAGGCCUGCUGGUUGGACUGGGCCUGGACUGUAAGAGAGUUGAACUCCCUGAAGGCCCCGUCAGAUUCGGACUUCAGCUUACUGGAACUGUACAUCCUGGAUGCUACUAUAAAGACAGAGAAGAAAUCUGUGACGUCUUUGUUGAACUCGCUGAAGGUACGAAGAAAAGGUCAUCCGUGCCUGCACUUUACUGGAAGGAGAUAAAAUAGCAGCAGAGCGAUGACUCAGGUGGUGCCAUCUCUUCUUACGGGCCCCCAGAGACAGCAGCUUCCUCUCGUACUGGACGGCGUGGUGGCCAUCGACUGUGUCCAUUUGCAGCUGCGAAUUCCCGCCCGCAUUCCUUAGAGACAGCAGAAGACAUGUCAACACAACCGUGGUGACAACAACAAUACCAAUGAUUUAUCUUUAAAUUAGCAUUUCCAAAAAGACAUUGCAGAGCAAACUUUAAGAAUGAUUAGUGUGGUUGAGUACUUUUUCCAGAUGUUGACAUGACUGAGAGUGAUGGUCCAAAGGAGAAAGAAUAAAUAUUAAAUAAUAACAGCCACUGGAUCAUUAAAAUAACGACCAUCUCCCUGAUGCAGCUGCAGGGGGAGUCUUCACUGUGAUGAUGUGGGUUCCCAUCUCAAGACACUGUAAAUAAGGUUGUCCUUAGAAUAUGUACAGUAUCAAGCAAAAUUGAGUACUCACCUCAUUUCUCAGCAAAUAUUUUAUCAUUUCUUAAGGGACAAUAAAAUUAUAUCGGAACUUUAAUAUUUUAAUACUUGUAUAGCAGUUUAGAUUUCCUAUCCCCUGAAAAUUACUCAUUAUUUUCUAAAUAACUGGCAACACAAGUCAAUAAUUGAAACAUUCAGGAAGUAUCCACAGCGUUGUCGACACUUCCUCAGACCCCCGCCACCCCUACCUUCCACUGCACGCCAAGAAGAUUCAACAACCAGGUAAAAUAGAUUGUAUUUCUUAUUUUUAAUCAUUGUGAUGAACUGGCUGUUAAAGUGAGUGCAUCACAGGCCUAGUGACAAUGUGGGGGUGUGUUGAGGCCAGUUCAGCUUGUUGUUGUUGUUUUGGCUUUGUUAAUAAAUAGAAAGUCACCCGAGUAUAAUGUUUAUUUGAUAUAUAGUACUGUACAGCGCUUUAUGUACAUUGUGUUAACUUUUACUAAAGGCUCAAGGCUGUAACCCAUUUUUCAUGUUUAAAUUGUUUCAUUAUGCUAACUUUUCUAUUUACAAACCCUGUCAAGAACCAAUAAGUUUGUAAAUCGAGGUUUCACUGUAUAACAAAAUGGUUUCUGAGACGUGAGGGAUGUGAGGGAUCCUGUAUGUGCAUAUUUUAAUAAUGAAAUAAAGAAGUAUUUCCCUUCCUCUUCCAAACUGAUGCCACAUACACACUGGGCACACUGGAAAAGAUGAGCGCACAUCCUCUUCUCAGCUGUUCCCCUCACCUACCCAAGUCAAAGACCAAACAAACUCUAUGCUGGAAUCCAACUGCUUCCAUAAACUGAAGGAGGGAUCCA
Entelurus aequoreus (snake pipefish) is the source of this 1891-nucleotide long non-coding RNA. RefSeq lists it as uncharacterized. The transcript has 3 exons. The record is from RefSeq and is a predicted model, not a curated record. NCBI's taxonomy places the organism in Eukaryota, Metazoa, Chordata, Actinopteri, Syngnathiformes, Syngnathidae.